GUGACAUCCCAUUCUUAAUCCAUAGGGUUUAAUAUGACGUCGGCCCACCCUUUGCAGCUAUAACAGCUUCAACUCUUCUGGGAAGGCUUUCCACAAGGUUUAGGAGUGUGUUUAUGGGAAUUUUUGACCAUUCUUCCAGAAGCGCAUUUGUGAGGUCAGACACUGAUGUUGGACGAGAAGGCCUGGCUCGCAGUCUUCGCUCUAAUUCAUCCCAAAGGUGCUCUAUCGGGUUGAGGUCAGGACUCUGUGCAGGCCAGUCAAGUUCUUCCACACCAAACUCGCUCAUCCAUGUCUUUAUGGACCUUGCUUUGUGCACUGGUGCGCAGUCAUGUUGGAACAGGAAGGGGCCAUCCCCAAACUGUUCCCACAAAGUUGGGAGCAUGGAAUUGGCGACCUCUGCGCACUAUGCGCCUCAGCAUCCGCUGACCCCGCUCUGUCAUUUUACGUGGCCUACCACUUCGUGGCUGAGUUGCUGUCAUUCCCAAUCACUUCCACUUUGUUAUAAUACCACUGACAGUUGACUGUGGAAUAUUUAGUAGCAAGGAAAUUUCACGACUGGACUUGUUGCACAGGUGGCAUCCUAUCACAGUACCACGCUGGAAUUCACUGAGCUCCUGAGAGCGGCCCAUUCUUUCACAAAUGUUUGUAGAAGCAGUCUGCAUGCCUAGGUGCUUCAUUUUAUACACCUGUGGCCAUGGAAGUGAUUGGAACACCUGAAUUCAAUUAUUUGGAUGGGUGAGCGAAUA
Long non-coding RNA from Myxocyprinus asiaticus (Chinese sucker), 746 nucleotides. RefSeq lists it as uncharacterized. The record is from RefSeq and is a predicted model, not a curated record. The transcript has 3 exons. Lineage: Eukaryota; Metazoa; Chordata; Actinopteri; Cypriniformes; Catostomidae.